CAAUAGCGUAUAUUAAAGUUGUUGCAGUUAAAAAGCUCGUAGUUGAAUUUUUGCUUGCCGCCGAUGUCGGAACUUCCGUACGUUCGGCGGCGUGCAUCCUUGGGUGGAACCUGUGUGGCAUUAGGUUGUCGUGCAGGGGAUGCUCAUCGUUUACUGUGAAAAAAUUAGAGUGUUCAAAGCAGGCUUUCGCUUGAAUACAUUAGCAUGGAAUAAUAAGAUAGGACUUUGGUGCUAUUUUGUUGGUUGAGCCUAAAGUAAUGAUUAAUAGGGAUAGUUGGGGGCACCUGUAUUGCGUUGUCAGAGGUGAAAUUCUUGGAUUUACGCAAGACAAACAGCUGCGAAAGCGUCUGCCAAGGAUGUUUUCAUUAA
RNAcentral lists this ribosomal RNA (369 nucleotides) under uncultured eukaryote. Its description in RNAcentral is "partial 18S ribosomal RNA". It matches the Rfam family "Eukaryotic small subunit ribosomal RNA", at positions 592 to 976 of the family's 1831-position model. The record is from RNAcentral.